Molecule: non-coding RNA, 434 nt
Organism: Paramuricea clavata
Lineage: Eukaryota; Metazoa; Cnidaria; Anthozoa; Malacalcyonacea; Plexauridae
Source: the annotation of a GenBank genome assembly
AUGAAGUUAACUUCAAAUGCCCACAUUCCUGCAAAAGUUUUCAUGCAACAUAUCAAUGUGGCUGAACUUUGACAGUCAAAAUGCCACAAGGUUGCCUCAGAUUAACUAACUCACAGUGUUUGUUGUGGGUGGCAGGUUAAGGUGAAUGUUUGAAGCCAGAUGCCAAAUUAAACAGUUUACCAACAUCACCUGUAACAAACACCCAUGAGGUGAUCAAUCCCUGGUUGUCUGGGGGGAACAGAUGGGCAGGUUUGGAUUUGAUUUGUGUAUAUGGCAUACAACGUAAGGGACGGACCAUUAUUUUUUUGGAGGGGGGGUGGAAAAUUCUUAAAAAAAUUGUUUGCAAAGACAAAAAAGUGCAAAUAAAUUGUUUGCACACAUAGAAAAGAGGAAAAAAUAGUUUGCGAGCUAAAUGAGAUUAUGCAACAUCAACC